Molecule: non-coding RNA, 179 nt
Filed under: Deltaproteobacteria bacterium
Lineage: Bacteria; Pseudomonadati; Myxococcota; Myxococcia
Description: 6S RNA
Rfam family: 6S / SsrS RNA
About the family: E. coli 6S RNA was the first non coding RNA to be sequenced, but its function was unknown until recently. It consists of 184 nucleotides that fold into an extended hairpin structure with a large single-stranded internal bulge. The 6S RNA specifically associates with RNA polymerase holoenzyme containing the sigma70 specificity factor.
Source: RNAcentral
GCUCCCCUGUGUUAUUCGUGAUAUGUGAACAUUAUUUGAGCCAACACCUUUUAGCUUGUGGAUGGUUACAUAAAUCCGGUGUGAACUUCCUUUAAGGGAAAGUCCUUAAGGAUUUAUGACCGUCAAUAAUUAAGAUUCAAGGUUCAAAGAAAGCACCUACACGGUAAUUUGGGGGGGAC